RNAcentral lists this ribosomal RNA (417 nucleotides) under Triticum aestivum (bread wheat). RNAcentral describes it as "partial small subunit ribosomal RNA". Lineage: Eukaryota; Viridiplantae; Streptophyta; Magnoliopsida; Poales; Poaceae. The record is from RNAcentral.
AUGAAACGUCCAUGGUGGCUUGACACUAUCGACACGCAGGUGUUGCAUCUAGAGGUUGAUAUUGGGUUGUGCAUUCGCCGGCAUAUUGUUGUAUGGCUGCCUUUUUUUAGACAAACAGGGAGGUGUAAAACUAUUGCUGAUAUGUGGGAUGGAUCACAACUGAAGCUAACAUUUAGGAGGAACUUUGAUGAUUGGCUCAUGGAGCUGUGGUGCCAGCUGAAGGAGAUUGCUAGCAGUGUUACAUACUCUGAUGGCACAGACUCUUUGGUAUGGCAGUUGGAGAGUAAUGGUAAUUAUUCCACUAGCUCCCUGUACCAUGUUAUCAACUUGGGGGGUACAGCCAGUUCAUAUACCUGCAGUCUGGAAACUCAAGGUCCCUCCAAAAAUCCAUUUCUUCCUCUGGUUGUUCUCUCAUAA